AUUGAACGCUAGCGGGAUGCUUUACACAUGCAAGUCGAACGCGUGGCGGACGGGUGAGUAAUAUCUCGGAACGUGCCUAGUAGAGGGGGAUAACUACUCGAAACAGUGGCUAAUACCGCAUACCAUCGGAGCGGCCGAGAUUGGAUUAGCUAGUGGGUGGGGUAAAGGCUCCCCAAGGCAACGAUCCGUAGCUGGUUUGAGAGGACGACCAGCCACACUGGGACUGAGACACGGCCCAGACUCCUACGGGAGGCAGCAGUGGGGAAUUUUGGACAAUGGGUGAAACCCUGAUCCAGCCAUGCCGCGUGUAUGAGAAGGCCUUCGGGUUGUAAAGUACUUUUGGCAGAGAAGCGGUAUCUGCAGAAUAAGCACCGGCUAACUACGUGCCAGCAGCCGCGGUAAUAC
This 405-nucleotide ribosomal RNA is filed under the name uncultured bacterium. RNAcentral's name for it is "partial 16S ribosomal RNA". It matches the Rfam family "Bacterial small subunit ribosomal RNA", at positions 30 to 526 of the family's 1533-position model. The record is from RNAcentral.